GCAUUUCAGUCGAAUGAUUCUUUAAAGUGUGACGAGGUAAGUAGGAUACUUCCAGACGCGCAGAAUAAUAUAUCCUUCUCGUAUGUUUGUUUUCAUAAUUCAAUUUGCUACUUUUUAAACGUCAAAUGUAUUUAUGUACUGAAAGGAGGUGGUUAUUAUUAUUUGUAACUCAAAACAAAACAUAUUUUUUAAUUUUUUUUUUAUUUUCAGAUUAUUAUGUACUUCAAUUGUAUCAAAGUGCGUCAUCGUUAAAAAAAUGGAAUAAAGCACAAUUAUUUCAAAUGAUGUUUCACCUCUCACAAAUGGGAAUGGCAAGAGUAAAACAACGCUGUCGCCGUCGAAUGCUAUCAACCAGACUGCAAAUGGAAUUGUAUACAAUAAAGAGUAACAUAAACAAAACUGAAACGGAAAAGCACCUACGGGAGCAGCAGUAUCAGGAAGAGGAGAAUUCUAUGAUGAUCCUAAUCGGAGCAAAUCUUCAUUCGAAAAGGUUCCUCUACACACAGCCUUCCUAGUAUUUUUUGGCUUUUACCUGCUCAUGAUAUUGGGCUACAUCAAUCAAUUUAUGUGUGCCCCAAAAGUAGCUAAAGAAAAUAAUCGAGAGGGCUAAGUUACGCUAUACGAUGCCUUCGAGAGCUUCUAUUCAGGGUAUGUCUAUCGGAAGGUCAGAGAUUGCUGGAAUUUCCCAAUUUGCAGAUCGCAUAACCAAGGAUUACAUUUGGACAUUUGAGUUCACUUUAAAAGAAACAAGAUGCUUGAACAGCGUUGCAGAACAGACGGCUUGGCUUUAGGCAGUCCCCGUUGUGAAGUAUGUUGGAGUGUUCGAUUGUCCAAAGUAAUUGCAUUGAAAAAGAAAUACAAACCUUAUUUGUAUUUGUAUGAGACGCAUAGUGUGGUAGCGAUGGGACCAAAUGGUCGCGGUAUUGUCGACUAUUAUGGCGCCGAUCCGAAAGAUGUUGAUAUUCUAAUGGGAAAAUUUAAAAAGAGCUUUGGCAGUGCUGGUGGUUUUAUUGCUGGAACAAAGAGCUGUAGGUCGAACACAAACUUUCCGUAAGGUAGCGGUUGUUGGAGUUGGGUUUCCUGCCACUAUAAUUGUGGAAGGACGUACAUAUACGCUUAAGAGCAGUUUGAUUAUGCCUACAAAGUGAUU
This is a long non-coding RNA of Eupeodes corollae, 1150 nucleotides long. RefSeq lists it as uncharacterized. The transcript is spliced from 3 exons. Lineage: Eukaryota; Metazoa; Arthropoda; Insecta; Diptera; Syrphidae. The record is from RefSeq and is a predicted model, not a curated record.